RNAcentral lists this transfer RNA (76 nucleotides) under Actinomycetota bacterium. RNAcentral's name for it is "Actinobacteria bacterium (freshwater metagenome) tRNA-Arg". It matches the Rfam family "tRNA". From Rfam's summary of the family: Transfer RNA (tRNA) molecules are approximately 80 nucleotides in length. Their secondary structure includes four short double-helical elements and three loops (D, anti-codon, and T loops). The record is from RNAcentral. Lineage: Bacteria; Bacillati; Actinomycetota.
GCCCCCGUAGCUCAGCGGAUAGAGCGGCGGACUUCUAAUCCGACGGUCGCAGGUUCGAUUCCUGCCGGGGGCGCCG